CGGUCUGAUAGCUGAAGGCCGUAGCGGUGCGGUUGCCGUUCGUGUUGUUGCGGUUCAGGCCGACCGGACCGA
This 72-nucleotide transfer RNA is filed under the name Brevundimonas sp. Bb-A. RNAcentral describes it as "tRNA-Gly". Lineage: Bacteria; Pseudomonadati; Pseudomonadota; Alphaproteobacteria; Caulobacterales; Caulobacteraceae. The record is from RNAcentral.